AUUAGAGUUUGAUCCUGGCUCAGAAUCAACGCUGGCGGCGUGCCUCAGACAUGCAAGUCGAACGAUUAAACUCGUCUUCGGACGAGAUAUAAAGUGGCGCACGGGUGAGUAACACGUAGGUAAUCUGCCUUUGAGUGGGGAAUAACGUUCGGAAACGAACGCUAAUACCGCAUAAUGCAGCGGCAUCGUAAGAUGACAGUUGUUAAAGCGAGCAAUCGCGCUUAAAGAGGAGCCUGCGGCAGAUUAGCUAGUUGGUAAGGUAAUGGCUUACCAAGGCGACGAUCUGUAACCGACCUGAGAGGGUGGUCGGUCACACUGACACUGAAUAACGGGUCAGACUCCUACGGGAGGCAGCAGUCGGGAAUUUUGGGCAAUGGGCGAAGGCCUGACCCAGCAACGCCGCGUGAAGGAUGAAGUAUUUCGGUAUGUAAACUUCGAAAGAAUGGGAAGAAUCAAUGACGGUACCAUUUAUAAGGUCCGGCUAACUACGUGCCAGCAGCCGCGGUAAUACGUAGGGACCAAGCGUUGUUCGGAUUUACUGGGCGUAAAGGGCGCGUAGGCGGCGUGUUAAGUCAGCUGUGAAAUCUCCGAGCUUAACUCGGAACGGUCAGCUGAUACUGAUGUGCUAGAGUGCAGAAGGGGCAAUCGGAAUUCUUGGUGUAGCGGUGAAAUGCGUAGAUAUCAAGAGGAACACCUGAGGUGAAGACGGGUUGCUGGGCUGACACUGACGCUGAGGCGCGAAAGCUAGGGUAGCAAACGGGAUUAGAUACCCCGGUAGUCCUAGCCCUAAACGAUGAAUACUUGGUGUCUGGAGUAAUUUAAUUCUCCGGGUGCCGUCGCUAACGUUUUAAGUAUUCCGCCUGGGGAGUACGCACGCAAGUGUGAAACUCAAAGGAAUUGACGGGGGCCCGCACAAGCGGUGGAGUAUGUGGUUUAAUUCGAUGCAACGCGAAGAACCUUACCAGGGCUUGACAUGUCCGGAAUCUUCGGGAAACCGAGGAGUGCCUUCGGGAGCCGGAACACAGGUGGUGCAUGGCUGUCGUCAGCUCGUGUCGUGAGAUGUUGGGUUAAGUCCCGCAACGAGCGCAACCCUCGUUUUUAGUUGCCAGCAUUAAGUUGGGCACUCUAGAGAGACUGCCGGUGACAAACCGGAGGAAGGUGGGGAUGACGUCAAGUCAGCAUGCCCCUUACGUCCUGGGCUACACACGUACUACAAUGCUACGGACAAAGGGCAGCAAGCAUGCGAAUGCAAGCAAAUCCCAGAAACCGUGGCUCAGUUCAGAUUGCAGGCUGCAACUCGCCUGCAUGAAGUUGGAAUCGCUAGUAAUCGCAGGUCAGCAAUACUGCGGUGAAUACGUUCCCGGGCCUUGUACACACCGCCCGUCACACCAUGGAAGCUGGUUUAGCCCGAAGUCGUUACCCUAACCGCAAGGAAGGGGACGCCGAAGGCAGGGCUGGUGACUGGGGUGAAGUCGUAACAAGGUAACCAAU
Molecule: ribosomal RNA, 1491 nt
Filed under: uncultured bacterium
Lineage: Bacteria
Description: bacterial SSU rRNA
Rfam family: Bacterial small subunit ribosomal RNA
Source: RNAcentral